UCGGGAAUUUUGGGCAAUGGGCGAAAGCCUGACCCAGCAACGCCGCGUGAAGGAUGAAGUAUUUCGGUAUGUAAACUUCGAAAGAAUAGGAAGAAUAAAUGACGGUACUAUUUAUAAGGUCCGGCUAACUACGUGCCAGCAGCCGCGGUAAUACGUAGGGACCAAGCGUUGUUCGGAUUUACUGGGCGUAAAGGGCGCGUAGGCGGCAAUUCAAGUCAUCUGUGAAAUCUCCGGGCUUAACUCGGAACGGUCAGAUGAUACUGCUUUGCUAGAGUGCAGAAGGGGCAAUCGGAAUUCUUGGUGUAGCGGUGAAAUGCGUAGAUAUCAAGAGGAACACCUGAGGUGAAGACGGGUUGCUGGACUUAUGGUGACGCUGAGACGCGAAAGCGUGGGGAGCAAACAGGAUUAGAUACCCACGUAGUCCCUGAGCGGGCUGGCAAGGCGCAU
Molecule: ribosomal RNA, 447 nt
Filed under: uncultured bacterium
Lineage: Bacteria
Description: bacterial SSU rRNA
Rfam family: Bacterial small subunit ribosomal RNA
Source: RNAcentral